Molecule: unclassified non-coding RNA, 299 nt
Organism: Callithrix jacchus (white-tufted-ear marmoset)
Lineage: Eukaryota; Metazoa; Chordata; Mammalia; Primates; Cebidae
Rfam family: Metazoan signal recognition particle RNA
About the family: The signal recognition particle (SRP) is a universally conserved ribonucleoprotein. It is involved in the co-translational targeting of proteins to membranes.
Source: Ensembl
UCCGGGCGCGGUGGCGCAUGCCUGUAGUCCCAGCUACUCUGGAGGCUGAGGUGGGAAGACCGCUCGAGCCCAGGAGUUCUGGGCUGUAGUGCACUAUGCCAAUCCGGUGUCCAUACUAAGUUCGGCAUCAAUGUGGUAACCUCCUGGCAACGGGGGACCACCAGGUGGCCUAAGGAGGGGCGAACUGGCCCAGGUGGGAAACGGAGCAGGCCAAAACUUCCAUGCUGAUCAGUAGUGGGAUGGCACCUGUGAUAGCCACUGCACUCCAGCCUGGGCAACAUAGCAACACCUAGUCUCAA